AUCAUUUGAGAAGCAAGAAAGGCAUCCUGCGCUCCUUCGGGAACCUGAUAUGAUGGAUACGCCGCCCAUCCAAGUGUU
RNAcentral lists this non-coding RNA (78 nucleotides) under unclassified sequences. RNAcentral describes it as "skipping-rope RNA". It matches the Rfam family "skipping-rope RNA". Rfam says of the family: Firmicutes, Fusobacteria, AlphaProteobacteria, Spirochaetes. Downstream gene The record is from Rfam by way of RNAcentral.